RNAcentral lists this microRNA (21 nucleotides) under Arabidopsis thaliana (thale cress). RNAcentral's name for it is "ath-miR5015". Lineage: Eukaryota; Viridiplantae; Streptophyta; Magnoliopsida; Brassicales; Brassicaceae. The record is from miRBase by way of RNAcentral.
UUGGUGUUAUGUGUAGUCUUC